This 1410-nucleotide ribosomal RNA is filed under the name uncultured bacterium. Its description in RNAcentral is "partial 16S ribosomal RNA". It matches the Rfam family "Bacterial small subunit ribosomal RNA". The record is from RNAcentral.
GAUGAACGCUAGCGGCAGGCUUAACACAUGCAAGUCGAGGGGCAGCGCGGAGUAGCAAUACUUUGGCGGCGACCGGCGGAAGGGUGCGUAACGCGUGAGUAACAUGCCCGUAUCUGGGGGAUAAGCGAUGGAAACGUUGUCUAAUACCCCAUAUGAACUUUAGACGAUGGUUUUUAGUUUGAAAGAAUUUUGGAUACGGAUUGGCUCGCGUAACAUUAGCUAGUCGGCGGGGUAACGGCCCACCGAGGCGACGAUGUUUAGGGGUUCUGAGAGGAAGGUCCCCCACACUGGAACUGAGACACGGUCCAGACUCCUGCGGGAGGCAGCAGUGAGGAAUAUUGCACAAUGGGCGAAAGCCUGAUGCAGCGACGCCGCGUGAGUGAAGAAGUAUUUCGGUAUGUAAAGCUCUAUCAGCAGGGAAGAAAAUGACGGUACCUGCACAAGAAGCCCCGGCUAACUACGUGCCAGCAGCCGCGGUAAUACGUAGGGGGCAAGCGUUAUCCGGAUUUACUGGGUGUAAAGGGAGCGUAGAUGGAAUGGCAAGUCAGAUGUGAAAGGCAUGGGCUCAACCCGUGGACUGCAUUUGAAACUGUCAAUCUGGAGUGUCGGAGGGGCAAGCGGAAUUCCUGGUGUAGCGGUGAAAUGCGUAGAUAUCAGGAGGAACACCGGUGGCGAAGGCGGCUUGCUGGACGAUUACUGACAUUGAGGCUCGAAAGCGUGGGGAGCAAACAGGAUUAGAUACCCUAGUAGUCCACGCUGUAAACGAUGAAUGCUAAGUGUUGGGGUAACUCAGUGCUGCAGUUAACGCAAUAAGCAUUCCGCCUGUGGAGUAUGCACGCAAGUGUGAAACAUAAAGGAAUUGCCGGGGGCCCGCACAAGCGGUGGAGUAUGUGGUUUAAUUCGACGCAACGCGAAGAACCUUACCAGGCCUUGACAUCCCUUGCAAAACUCUAGAGAUAGAGCAGAGGUUAUCAAGGUGACAGGUGGUGCAUGGUUGUCGUCAGCUCGUGUCGUGAGAUGUUGGGUUAAGUCCCGCAACGAGCGCAACCCUUGUCUUCAGUUACCAUCAUUUAGUUGGGGACUCUGGAGAGACUGCCGGUGAUAAACCGGAGGAAGGCGGGGAUGACGUCAAAUCAUCAUGCCCCUUAUGGCCUGGGCUACACACGUACUACAAUGGCGUAUACAACGAGUCGCAACCUGGCGACAGGAAGCAAAUCUCUUAAAGUACGUCUCAGUUCGGAUUGGAGUCUGCAACUCGACUCCAUGAAGUUGGAAUCGCUAGUAAUCGCGGAUCAGCAUGCCGCGGUGAAUACGUUCUCGGGCCUUGUACACACCGCCCGUCAUACCAUGAGAGCUGGUAAUACCCGAAGCCGGUGGCCUAACCGCAAGGAAGGAGCCGUCGAAGGUAGG